Molecule: ribosomal RNA, 498 nt
Filed under: uncultured Oscillospiraceae bacterium
Lineage: Bacteria; Bacillati; Bacillota; Clostridia; Eubacteriales; Oscillospiraceae
Description: bacterial SSU rRNA
Rfam family: Bacterial small subunit ribosomal RNA
Source: RNAcentral
UUUGAUCCUGGCUCAGGAUGAACGCUGGCGGCGUGCUUAACACAUGCAAGUCGAACGAGAACCAUUGGAUCGAGGAUUCGUCCAAGUGAAGGUGGGGAAAGUGGCGGACGGGUGAGUAACGCGUGAGCAAUCUGCCUUGGAGUGGGGAAUAACGGCUGGAAACAGCCGCUAAUACCGCAUGAUACAGCUGGGAGGCAUCUCCCUGGCUGUCAAAGAUUUAUCGCUCUGAGAUGAGCUCGCGUCUGAUUAGCUAGUUGGCGGGGUAACGGCCCACCAAGGCGACGAUCAGUAGCCGGACUGAGAGGUUGGCCGGCCACAUUGGGACUGAGACACGGCCCAGACUCCUACGGGAGGCAGCAGUGGGGAAUAUUGGGCAAUGGGCGCAAGCCUGACCCAGCAACGCCGCGUGAAGGAAGAAGGCUUUCGGGUUGUAAACUUCUUUUGUCAGGGACGAAGCAAGUGACGGUACCUGACGAAUAAGCCACGGCUAACUACGUA